This 460-nucleotide ribosomal RNA is filed under the name uncultured bacterium. RNAcentral's name for it is "partial 16S ribosomal RNA". It matches the Rfam family "Bacterial small subunit ribosomal RNA", at positions 338 to 795 of the family's 1533-position model. The record is from RNAcentral.
CCUACGGGUGGCAGCAGUGAGGAAUAUUGGUCAAUGGCCGGAAGGCUGAACCAGCCAUGCCGCGUGAAGGUCAGUGCCCUAUGGGCGUUAAACUUCUUUUGUGCGGGAGCAAUAAUGGUCACGUGUGGCCAGACGAGAGUACCGUACGAAUAAGCAUCGGCUAACUUCGUGCCAGCAGCCGCGGUAAUACGGGGGAUGCAAGCGUUAUCCGGAUUUAUUGGGUUUAAAGGGUGCGUAGGCUGUGGGGUAAGUCAGCGGUGAAAUGCCCCCGCUCAACGGGGUGAAGUGCCAUUGAUACUGCCAUGCUGGAAUGCGGAUGCCGUGGGAGGAAUGUGUGGUGUAGCGGUGAAAUGCAUAGAUAUCACGCAGAACACCGAUUGCGAAGGCAUCUCACGAAACCGCGAUUGACGCUGAUGCACGAAAGCGUGGGUAUCAAACAGGAUUAGAUAUCCGAGUAGUC